GAAGUGAUCGGAGGAGAGAAUCUUUGCAUGAAAAGGUGAAAUCCAAGAAAGACCGGUAUAGUGGGAAGAUUUCAGGGGGCCUUUUGAUGAGCUUUCAAAUAUUGAUCUUCCAACGAAACAAGAUCUACCGUGCCAUUUGCUCAUGGUUGGCUUAUACUUCGUGCAGUCCUCUUCCUUUUCAAGUUUUCAUCAUCCAUCACCA
This is a long non-coding RNA of Neltuma alba, 202 nucleotides long. RefSeq lists it as uncharacterized. The transcript is spliced from 2 exons. The record is from RefSeq and is a predicted model, not a curated record. Lineage: Eukaryota; Viridiplantae; Streptophyta; Magnoliopsida; Fabales; Fabaceae.